AAAGGACGAGGACUUCCUGACCAGAGAGUCAAAACUUACUAUAGGUGUCCCAUUGAGCUUGUUUACAUGUGCGAUUAGCAUUUGCACCCAACAUAUCCGUAUUGUCCUCGUGCUUUGUCUCAUUUCUAGUUAAAGGCAGAGUUGUCUACUCACCUGACUGGCGGUGGCACUCCAGAAAAGGUUUUUCGCUAUGCGUUCUGACUGAACUUUUUAAACAAAUGGAAUCAUCAGGGUUUGAUUCUACUUUAUACUACCGUUGAGCUAUGCUAAUGUUGUUGUAAGACAUCAGUUGAAUGAUAAACGGAUUGAUACAUAACCAACAGUCCCUAUCUAAUAGGGUACCAAGAAUUAUUGCUAUGUUCAUUUGCAUGUUUUGGGCUGCAAGCUUAUAUUUACACACCCUUACUCAGGUGAGGUAAUUUCCAUUGAGUUCAUCAAGAAGAAAACUUAGGAUGGCAGACCAAAUAAUCUCCAUGUUACAAGCACACCAUCACACCUUACAGACUGACAAGGAAAUACCUUUGAGACUCAUACCAAAUUCAAGACGAUCAGGACACCAAGACAGCUAAAGAUCAGG
Podarcis raffonei (Aeolian wall lizard) is the source of this 577-nucleotide long non-coding RNA. RefSeq lists it as uncharacterized. NCBI's taxonomy places the organism in Eukaryota, Metazoa, Chordata, Lepidosauria, Squamata, Lacertidae. The record is from RefSeq and is a predicted model, not a curated record. The transcript is spliced from 4 exons.